GACGAACGCUGGCGGCGUGCUUAACACAUGCAAGUCGAACGGAAAGGCCCUGCUUUUGUGGGGUGCUCGAGUGGCGAACGGGUGAGUAACACGUGAGUAACCUGCCCUUGACUUUGGGAUAACUUCAGGAAACUGGGGCUAAUACCGGAUAGGAGCUCCUGCUGCAUGGUGGGGGUUGGAAAGUUUCGGCGGUUGGGGAUGGACUCGCGGCUUAUCAGCUUGUUGGUGGGGUAGUGGCUGACCAAGGCUUUGACGGGUAGCCGGCCUGAGAGGGUGACCGGCCACAUUGGGACUGAGGUACGGCCCAGUCUCCUACGGGAGGCAGCAGUGGGGAAUAUUGCACAAUGGGCGGAAGCCUGAUGCAGCAACGCCGCGUGCGGGAUGACGGCCUUCGGGUUGUAAACCGCUUUCGCCUGUGACGAAGCGUGAGUGACGGUAAUGGGUAAAGAAGCACCGGCUAACUACGUG
This 468-nucleotide ribosomal RNA is filed under the name uncultured bacterium. RNAcentral's name for it is "partial 16S ribosomal RNA". It matches the Rfam family "Bacterial small subunit ribosomal RNA", at positions 28 to 507 of the family's 1533-position model. The record is from RNAcentral.